GGAGAGAGAAGAGAGAGAGAGAGAGAGAGAGAGAGAGAGAGAGAGAGUUAUAACCCACAAAAAAACAAAACAGAAGACGACUUUUUCUUCUUUCUCUCUUCUCUCUUCUUCUUCUUCUUCUUCUUCUUCUUUUCUCUCU
This 139-nucleotide microRNA precursor is filed under the name Marmota monax (woodchuck). The record is from RNAcentral. Lineage: Eukaryota; Metazoa; Chordata; Mammalia; Rodentia; Sciuridae.